GAUGAAGAACGCAGCGAAAUGCGAUAAGUAAUGUGAAUUGCAGAAUUCAGUGAAUCAUCGAAUCUUUGAACGCACAUUGCGCCCGCCAGUAUUCUGGCGGGCAUGCCUGUUCGAGCGUUAUUUCAACCAUCAAGCCCCAGGCUUGUGUUGGAGCCCUGCGGCUGCCGCAGCCUCCCAAAACCAGUGGCGGGCUCGCUAUCACACCGAGUGCAGUAGUUUACUCUUCGCUCAGGGCGUGUGGCGGGUGCUAGCCGUAAAACCCCCAACUUCUCAAGGUUGACCUCGGAUCAGGUAGGAAUACCCGCUGAACUUAAGCAUAUCAAUAAGCGGAGGA
This 334-nucleotide unclassified non-coding RNA is filed under the name soil metagenome. Its description in RNAcentral is "partial contains 5.8S ribosomal RNA, internal transcribed spacer 2, and large subunit ribosomal RNA". The stretch from base 1 to 120 matches the Rfam family "5.8S ribosomal RNA", at positions 35 to 154 of the family's 154-position model. The record is from RNAcentral.